Molecule: long non-coding RNA, 784 nt
Organism: Herpailurus yagouaroundi (jaguarundi)
Lineage: Eukaryota; Metazoa; Chordata; Mammalia; Carnivora; Felidae
Exons: 2
Source: RefSeq, a predicted model, not a curated record
ACCGGCACCAGGCCAGGGAGAAGAAUGUUUUAUCUGGCACCAGAUGUACUCAUGACCCAGUAUGGAAUACACUGCAGGUGCACGGCCUGUCGAGAUGCCAAAUACUAUGUUGUACGUGCUUGCUGUCCUCAGACAAAUUGCAAAAAUAAGAGGCUUGAGCCAGGGGACUGGUGCUUUGGGUUCCUGGAGAGUCUUAGGCCCCUGCUUUCGUAAUUCUCUCGUCACUGCACCUUUAGGCCCCGUGUCUCUACAGCUGGCGCCCAAACAGGGACCUGAGGGAGGAAGUGUGCAGCACUGCUGAAGAAGUGCCAAGGGAACCAAAGGGAAAUUUGGAGCCAGAAAACUCAUCCUUUGGGAUUUCUGCAGCGUAUUUAUCCUUGCAUGUGCAGUCUGGUACCGGGGACAACGAGCCUGUCAAUGUACCGAUGGACACCUCAGGUUAUACAAUGUCCUCCUACAGGCCGUUGUAUACAAACAAAAAGGGGGAGAUGUUGGAGAACAAGAAGCUGGAGGCACCGUGAGAAUGUCCUGAAGGAAAGGGACGGAGCAGCAGGAACUGAAAGCCGCCGGGACUGCACGUCCUCUCCAGAAGGGACAUCAUACCGGCACCAGGCCAGGGAUAAGAAUGUUUUGUCUGGCGCCAGACGUACUCAUGACCCAGUAUGGAAUACACUGCAGGUGCACGGCCUGUCAAGAUGCCAAAUACCAUGUUGUACGUGCUUGCUGUCAUCAGACAAAUUGCAAAAAUAAAAGAGGCUUGAGCCAGGGGACUGGUACUUCGGGC